This 495-nucleotide ribosomal RNA is filed under the name uncultured bacterium. RNAcentral's name for it is "partial 16S ribosomal RNA". It matches the Rfam family "Bacterial small subunit ribosomal RNA", at positions 28 to 507 of the family's 1533-position model. The record is from RNAcentral.
GAUGAACGCUGGCGGCGUGCCUAAUACAUGCAAGUCGAACGCUGAAGGAGGAGCUUGCUCUUCUGGAUGAGUUGCGAACGGGUGAGUAACGCGUAGGUAACCUGCCUGGUAGCGGGGGAUAACUAUUGGAAACGAUAGCUAAUACCGCAUGACAACAGUUAUUGCAUGAUAACUGUUUAAAAGGGGCAACUGCUCCACUACCAGAUGGACCUGCGUUGUAUUAGCUAGUUGGUGAGGUAACGGCUCACCAAGGCGACGAUACAUAGCCGACCUGAGAGGGUGAUCGGCCACACUGGGACUGAGACACGGCCCAGACUCCUACGGGAGGCAGCAGUAGGGAAUCUUCGGCAAUGGACGGAAGUCUGACCGAGCAACGCCGCGUGAGUGAAGAAGGGUGUCGGAUCGUAAAGCUCGGUUGUAAGAGAAGAACGAGUGUGAGAGUGGAAAGUUCACACUGUGACGGUAUCUUACCAGAAAGGGACGGCUAACUACGUG